GGGUGUCCACGGCAUCGUUGGGGUUAAGCCACUUAGCCAUGGAGGCAAGUGAAUGCGCAAUAAGGGAUCUCUAACCUUCAAACCGUUUGGGGGAGAAUACUCUAUGAUAUGAUUUAGAAUCUCUGGCCAGAGUAUGAAUGAGAUUUAGGAAAGUCGUUCCAAAUCACAUUCAAGGUAAUCAUAUAAGCACACAAAUCACAUUGGAUAGUAGACAUGAAUAAACUAUCAAACCAAACAAUGUGGUCAAGAGUAUUGUAUUAGAGAAAGACCGUAUUGCAUUUGUAAUCCUAAACUGAAUAGGUUCUCUACCUCUUCUGAUUAGCUUGGGUAACCAUGAUAUGCUGCUAGGUGUCACUCUUGGUUUGUGGAAGCCCUAAACGUAUAUAAUCACUAAAGGGAGAAUUGAAAGUAAGUUUCAAUUCACAAUCGAUGUGAAAUGGUUUUAAUCGCCCACUGCCUCGCUAAAAGGAACCUAAUGGAUCGUACACCAUGUAAGGUGGAGAUUGAAGAAACAAUGGAGAUGAUUAAGAAUAAUUAAAUGGUUUAAUUAUUUAUGGCAAGGAUUAAUUAAUAUGUUAAUUAAUAAAACGAAUAAGUUCGUUAAAGACCUCGGGAUAGUUUUGGACCUUAAGGCCCAAUGGGCUUCGAACGUCAAGCCCAUUGACUUCAGUUGUAUGACAAUUUAAUGAAUAAAGAUUCACAAAGGCCCAAAAGCCCAUAUGCCUUAUAUGGCCGGCCAUGUAUGUUGAAUUAGGGUUUUUGGUUCUUUAGGUCAUUUAAAGAAGUGACUAUAUAAAGAACUUUAUAGCCUAAAAUUGAUUAAGGGUUCUUUUGGAGAAAAUUAGAGAGAACAUGUCUCUCCUUUUCUCUCUAGGAGGCCGG
Molecule: long non-coding RNA, 882 nt
Filed under: Malus domestica (apple)
Lineage: Eukaryota; Viridiplantae; Streptophyta; Magnoliopsida; Rosales; Rosaceae
Description: long non-coding RNA (MDOM_LNC019016)
Source: RNAcentral